UUAGAACCUAGAGGUUGAUUUAGUCAUUUUUGGCAAGAGCAAAUGUCAAGAGAGUGGUUCAGACAGAAGCCAGAUUAAACGGGCUGAGGAGGGACUAGAGAGUAACCAGAGAGGUGCAAGAGUGAGAAUUGCUAUAGACAGCUGCUUCAAGAUGUCCGGCCAUAAUUAAGUUAAGCUAUUGGUGGGAGUGUCAAUAGGUACAAACUCUUAGGAGGGACUUUGCCAUUAUUCACUAACACUUAAAAUGUUUGUACUCUUUGAUCCAAGUAGUUCAAUUUCUAGACAUGUGCCAUAAUACUUAAAAAGUGUGCAAAAGUAUAUGUACCAUUUCACAUGGUUUCUAAUAGCAGAAAGCUGGAAAAAUCAAA
Ceratotherium simum simum (southern white rhinoceros) is the source of this 368-nucleotide non-coding RNA. The record is from RefSeq and is a predicted model, not a curated record. Lineage: Eukaryota; Metazoa; Chordata; Mammalia; Perissodactyla; Rhinocerotidae.